UUUCCGGUUGAUCCCGCCGGAGGCCAUUGCUAUCAGGGUUUGACUAAGCCAUGCGAGUCGAGAGGUGUAAGACCUCGGCAUACUGCUCAGUAACACAUGGAUAAUCUGCCCUUGGGUGGAGAAUACUCCCGGGAAACUGGGGUUAAUGCUCCAUAGUGGAUAUAUACUGGAAUGUUAUAUCCUCGAAAGAUCCGUCGCCCAAGGAUGAGUCUAUGUCCGAUUAGGUAGUUGGCGGGGUAACGGCCCACCAAGCCUUUGAUCGGUACGGGUUGUGGGAGCAAGAUCCCGGAGAUGGAUUCUGAGACAUGAAUCCAGGCCCUACGGGGCGCAGCAGGCGCGCAAACUUUACAAUGCGAGCAAUCGUGAUAAGGAAACCCUGAGUGCCUGUCGAUGCAGGCUGUUCAUAUAUCUAAAUCAUAUGUGAAGAAAGGGCAGGGCAAGACCGGUGCCAGCCGCCGCGGUAAUACCGGCUGCUCGAGUGAUGGCCACUAUUACUGGGUUUAAAGCGUCCGUAGCUUGAUUGUUAGGUCUCUUGGGAAAUCUUCACGCUCAACGUGAGGGCGUCCAAGAGAUACCGGCAAUCUUGGAACUGGGAGAGGUAAACCGUACUUCGGGGGUAGGAGUGAAAUCUUGUAAUCCUCGAGGGACGACCUAUGGCGAAGGCAGUUUACCAGAACAGCUUCGACAGUGAGGGACGAAAGCUGGGGGAGCA
RNAcentral lists this ribosomal RNA (712 nucleotides) under uncultured Methanocorpusculum sp. Its description in RNAcentral is "bacterial SSU rRNA". It matches the Rfam family "Archaeal small subunit ribosomal RNA", at positions 1 to 721 of the family's 1478-position model. Lineage: Archaea; Methanobacteriati; Methanobacteriota; Methanomicrobia; Methanomicrobiales; Methanocorpusculaceae. The record is from RNAcentral.